UACAGAGGGUGCGAGCGUUGUCCGGAAUCACUGGGCGUAAAGGGCGCGUAGGCGGCUCAGUAAGGUUGCGGUGAAAGCCCGGGGCUCAACCCCGGGUCGGCCGUGGCAACUGCUGAGCUGGAGCACUGUAGAGGCAGGUGGAAUUCCGGGUGUAGCGGUGGAAUGCGUAGAGAUCCGGAAGAACACCGGUGGCGAAGGCGGCUCUCUAGUACGGUACUGACGCUGAGACGCGAAAGCGUGGGGAGCGAACGAGG
This 254-nucleotide ribosomal RNA is filed under the name uncultured bacterium. RNAcentral describes it as "partial 16S ribosomal RNA". It matches the Rfam family "Bacterial small subunit ribosomal RNA", at positions 524 to 777 of the family's 1533-position model. The record is from RNAcentral.